GACGAGAUAGAGUAAUUGGUAACUUAUCAGGCUCAUAAUCUGGAGAUGUAGGU
This 53-nucleotide transfer RNA is filed under the name Globisporangium ultimum DAOM BR144. Its description in RNAcentral is "Pythium ultimum DAOM BR144 tRNA". It matches the Rfam family "tRNA", at positions 1 to 52 of the family's 71-position model. From Rfam's summary of the family: Transfer RNA (tRNA) molecules are approximately 80 nucleotides in length. Their secondary structure includes four short double-helical elements and three loops (D, anti-codon, and T loops). Further hydrogen bonds mediate the characteristic L-shaped molecular structure. tRNAs have two regions of fundamental functional importance: the anti-codon, which is responsible for specific mRNA codon recognition, and the 3' end, to which the tRNAs corresponding amino acid is attached (by aminoacyl-tRNA synthetases). tRNAs cope with the degeneracy of the genetic code in two manners: having more than one tRNA (with a specific anti-codon) for a particular amino acid; and 'wobble' base-pairing, i.e. permitting non-standard base-pairing at the 3rd anti-codon position. The record is from Rfam by way of RNAcentral. Lineage: Eukaryota; Oomycota; Peronosporomycetes; Pythiales; Pythiaceae.